Ictidomys tridecemlineatus (thirteen-lined ground squirrel) is the source of this 215-nucleotide non-coding RNA. The record is from RefSeq and is a predicted model, not a curated record. NCBI's taxonomy places the organism in Eukaryota, Metazoa, Chordata, Mammalia, Rodentia, Sciuridae.
GGAUUUUGACUCUUUGCCAUGUCAAGUGCCUACUUCAGAUCAAGGAGGUGCUGGACAAAAUCCAGGUCUUGUCUAUGGAAACCCAUAUUCUGGUAUUCAAGAAAGUUCUGCCCCUAGCCUGCUCUCCAUCAAGAAAUGCUUCACCUGCAAAUCAGACUUUGCUGAUGAAAUCUGUGAUCACACCUUGGAGCAGCAGCAAAUGCAGACCCCUUGUU